AUUCUAAACAACACAUUAAAAUAUGAAUCUUUUGUUUGCAGAUAUAUAGAAACUUCAAGAACUGAUCAUAAUAUGAUUGUCUACAUCUAUAUAUGUAUAUCAUAUUCACAUUUUUGCUGAUAGUUGGUGGAAUUAUAUAUAGUUUGAAUAUGAAAAGAUAAACCAAUCAUGGAGUCGUAGCUAGCGUAAGCAUGCUGCCUGUGCAGUGCAUGCUUCAUUAUAUUCGUGGCUACAUCAUCAACAACUUCAGAAUAUAUCGUCUGAACCUGACUGGGGUACUUGGAAACAAAGUGAUGAUUGAAGUAUGAAGUUUAGGUCUCUCAAGACAGAAGGUACAUAAUUAAAGUGGUCAGCUUGUUUGAUCCAAGAAGAUUACAUUGUCAUUUUCUUUUUUCCCAAAAUAAUUGUAGUAAUUUUCAGUUUUGAAAUCUCCCAAAUUAUGUAUAAUAUUCCCUUUUAAGCAAAUAUUCAAGUAAAACUCACCUAUUUGAUCUAUGAACUCGCUACCAAUUCCUUCUAAUUAUCGGUAGUUGAUAAAUUUA
Long non-coding RNA from Lactuca sativa (garden lettuce), 542 nucleotides. RefSeq lists it as uncharacterized. The record is from RefSeq and is a predicted model, not a curated record. Lineage: Eukaryota; Viridiplantae; Streptophyta; Magnoliopsida; Asterales; Asteraceae.